UACUCGAGUGGCGAACGGGUGAGUAACACGUGGGUGAUCUGCCCUGCACUCUGGGAUAAGCCUGGGAAACUGGGUCUAAUACCGGAUAGGACCAUGCUUUAGUGUGUGUGGUGGAAAGGUUUUUCGGUGUAGGAUGAGCCCGCGGCCUAUCAGCUUGUUGGUGGGGUAAUGGCCUACCAAGGCGGCGACGGGUAGCCGGACUGAGAGGUUGGUCGGCCACAUUGGGACUGAGAUACGGCCCAG
This 243-nucleotide ribosomal RNA is filed under the name uncultured Actinomycetales bacterium. RNAcentral describes it as "partial 16S ribosomal RNA". It matches the Rfam family "Bacterial small subunit ribosomal RNA", at positions 88 to 334 of the family's 1533-position model. Lineage: Bacteria; Bacillati; Actinomycetota; Actinomycetes; Actinomycetales. The record is from RNAcentral.